UUAAAGAUAAUAAUAAUUCUCAAUAGAAUUGUUAUAAUCAAAUACAAUAUCAAAUCACAUGAAAUUAAUGUAAAUCAACAAACACAAAUAGAAAUACUGACAACUUUAGCAAUUGAGGUUUGCAAGAAUUGCAAUAUCCUAAAGACAGAUUUUGCUCAUGUCCUUGUGCUCGCAAGUCUAUAGGAGUACAUUUCCCAUGAUUCAACAAUCGAUAAUCCUAAAUUGAAGCACUUCAAUUUAAAACUCUAGCAACCCAAUUAUAUAUUCGUACUCUCAAGGCACUUAAGAAGGAAACUUGAAGAUUGAUACUCUAACAUAGCAUGAGUGGAGAAAACUCCUUUCCAACACCACUUUGGAAUGUCAUAUAUCUUAGGUUUAUAUAGAACCUGGGUGACUUUUUUGGAAUAGCAAUGGUGGUUGUUCACUAAUUGACGCCACCCAUGCAAAAGGAAAGAUGCAACUCCCUUACUUGAAUUGCAUCAGGUUUGUAU
RNAcentral lists this long non-coding RNA (491 nucleotides) under Prunus persica (peach). RNAcentral describes it as "long non-coding RNA (PPER_LNC000249)". The record is from RNAcentral. Lineage: Eukaryota; Viridiplantae; Streptophyta; Magnoliopsida; Rosales; Rosaceae.